This 253-nucleotide ribosomal RNA is filed under the name uncultured bacterium. Its description in RNAcentral is "partial 16S ribosomal RNA". It matches the Rfam family "Bacterial small subunit ribosomal RNA", at positions 524 to 776 of the family's 1533-position model. The record is from RNAcentral.
UACGUAGGGCGCAAGCGUUGUCCGGAUUUAUUGGGCGUAAAGAGCGUGUAGGCGGCCACACAGGUCUGCUGUGAAAACUCGAGGCUCAACCUCGAGCUGUCGGUGGAAACCGUGUGGCUAGAGUCCGGAAGAGGAGAGUGGAAUUCCCGGUGUAGCGGUGAAAUGCGUAGAUAUCGAGAGGAACACCAGUGGCGAAGGCGAGUCCCUGGACACUUCCUGACACUGAGGCACGAAAGCUAGGGGAGCAAACAGG